GAUGAACGCUGGCGGCGUGCCUAACACAUGCAAGUCGAACGAACAGACGAGGAGUUUGCCCCUCUGACGUUUGGCGCACGGGGGAGUGAAACACGUGGAUAACCCCCCUAUCAGACUGGGAUAUCUUCGGGAAAGGGGAGCUAAUACCGAAGAAUUUAUUGAACAACCGGGUUCCAUAGAGGAAGACGGUUUUGCUGUCAGUUAUAGAUGGAUUCGCGCCGCAUUAGCUUGUUGGUAGGGUAACGGCUUACCAAGGCGACGAUGCGUAGCCGAGCUGAGAGGGUGAUCGGCCACACUGGAACUGAGACACGGUCCAGACUCCUACGGGAGGCAGCAGUAGGGAAUCUUGCGCAAUGGGCGAAAGCUUGACGGAGCAACGCCGCGUGAGUGAUGAAGGCCUUCGGAUCGUAAAGCUCUGUUAUUGGGGAAGAACAAAUUUGUAAUUAAAUAAGGGCGUCUUGACGGUACCUGAUCAAGAAGCCCCGGCUAACUACGUG
RNAcentral lists this ribosomal RNA (497 nucleotides) under uncultured bacterium. Its description in RNAcentral is "partial 16S ribosomal RNA". It matches the Rfam family "Bacterial small subunit ribosomal RNA", at positions 28 to 507 of the family's 1533-position model. The record is from RNAcentral.